This 529-nucleotide ribosomal RNA is filed under the name Amyda cartilaginea (black-rayed soft-shelled turtle). RNAcentral's name for it is "partial large subunit ribosomal RNA". It matches the Rfam family "Bacterial large subunit ribosomal RNA", at positions 1927 to 2629 of the family's 2925-position model. The record is from RNAcentral. Lineage: Eukaryota; Metazoa; Chordata; Testudines; Trionychidae.
ACGGCCGCGGUAUCCUAACCGUGCAAAGGUAGCGUAAUCACUUGUCCUUUAAAUAAGGACUAGUAUGAAAGGCUAAACGAGGUCCUAUCUGUCUCUCACAGAUAAUCAGUGAAAUUGAUCCCCUCGUGCAAAAGCGAGAAUAUAAAUAUAAGACGAGAAGACCCUGUGGAACUUAAAAUAAAACAUCAACCGACACCCAACACACCCCAAAUGGGAUACAAACUACUAAAUACCUGAUGUACAUUUUUGGUUGGGGCGACCUCGGAGUAAAACAGAACCUCCGAAAAAAGAACACACUCCUUACUUAGACAAACAACUCAAAGUGCCCACAGCAAAAUGAUCCAAUUUAUUUGAUCAACGAACCAAGCUACCCCAGGGAUAACAGCGCAAUCCCGUCACAGAGUCCCUAUCGAAGACGGAGUUUACGACCUCGAUGUUGGAUCAGGACAUCCUAAUGGUGCAACAGCUAUUAAGGGUUCGUUUGUUCAACGAUUAAAGUCCCACGUGAUCUGAGUUCAAAACCGGAGAG